GCUAAUUUCAGUCAGGUGUUGUGUUGAUGAGAAAUGACACUUUGUAGACUUGCUGCAAGCUGUUUGUUGCUCCUUGUAUUGUAUUCUAUCUGAUGAAGUUCAGCAUGAAAACAUCAACACUUCAGCUCAAGGUUUUUACAGUGACUGGAGAUGCAAUGAGUGACUCCACAUAGAAAGUGUCCCAUAGGACUCCAAACACUUGAGGGAGGGAAGGAGGUGUUCCAUUUGGGUUGACAUGACCGGACAUAACAAUGAAGGAGCUUAUGAAGAGCGACGGGCGACCCUAAAAGGGCAAGUGACAGCAACACGAUACCACACUUAAAUAAGCAUGCAAAGUCUGUCACACGCACAGUUCAUGCAUUUAGCAAGCAUCUCCCGUAAUUCCUUGCGAGCGUCGAUACAUUUGUUCAGAUGUCCCCCAUUUGUUCUUGUCAUCCUCUAUUUGGCAAAGUGGGUUCUAGAUUAGUGUGGCAUUAAAUAACUAUGUAUUCUCCACCCCGAGCCAAACCACUGUCCUCUGAGAUGCUGCAGGACGUGUCCAUGUAUAGCUAACAGCACCGCUCUAUUAGGCCAAAAACAAAUAGUCCGCCGUCAUGUGGCAUUAUCGCUGUGGCUACUGCAUUUAUAGGUCCUAAGGCUCUCACAGCUGGCUGUGCAGUGCUAUUACUAUACCAUGUAACACAAAAACAGUAUAUUUCUGUAUCUAUAUUUUUCCAAUCACAUGACAAAGACUUGUGCUGAAAAUAAAUGGAGCUCAACCAAUACUUUACAAUAGCUCUUUGUGGGUAAGCUGUGCUGGCCUCAUUCAUUCAUUCAUUCAUUUGUGUGUUUAUGCAAUUAUUUGUGCUUCUAUUUUAGCAUUUAUGUAUAAAUUUAUUUAUGAAUUUGUUUGUGCAUUUAUUUAUUAUGUAUUUAUUUGUGCUAUUUUGGCAUUUAUUUCUGAAUUUAUUUAUGCAUUCAUUCAGUCAUUCAUGCAUUAAUGCAUUUAUUUUGUGCAUUUAUGCAUUAUUUGUGCUUCUAUUUUGCCAUUUAUAAAUUUAUUUGUGCAUUCAUUCAUGCAUUUAUGCAAUCAUUUUUUUUUUUUUUUUUUUUUGUGGUUCUAUUUUGCCAUUUGUUUAUGAAUUUAUUUGUGCGUUCAUUCAUUCAGUCAGUCAUCCAUGCAUUCAUGCAUUUAUUCUUUUAUUUGUGCUUCUAUUUUGGCAUUUAUUUAUGAAUCUAUUUAUGUAUUUAUUCAUGCAUUCAUUCAUGCAUUUAUUGGUGCUUCUAUUUGGGCAUUUAUUUAUUAAUUUAUUUGUGCAUUUAUUUAUUAAUUGUGCAUUCAGUCAGUCAUACAUGCUUUAAUGCAUUUAUUUGUGCUUCUAUUUUGGCAUUUAUUGAUUCAUUUAUUUGUGAAUUUAUUUGUUUAUUCAUUCAUUUAUGCAUGCAUGCAUUAUUUGUUAUGCAUGCUUUUAUUAUGCAUUUAUUUGUGCUUCUAUUUGGGCAUUUAUUUAUUUAUACAUUUAUUUAUGAAUUUUUGUGCAUUCAUUCAUUCAUUAAUGCAUUUAUUUGUGCAUUUUAAGAAUUUAUUUGUUUCUACUGGCAUUUGUUUAUUUAUGCAUUUAUGAAUUCAUUCAUUCAUUCAUUCAUUCAUUCAUUCAUUUGUGCAUUUAUUUAUUAUUCAUUCGCUCAUUAAUUUAUGCAUGCAUUUGUCUGUGCUUCUAUUUUGGCAUUUAUGUACGCAUUUAUGUAUGAAUUUGCACAUUCAUUUAUUCAUCCUGCAUUUGUGCAUUUAUGCAUUCAUUUUUUUUUUUUCUACAUG
Labeo rohita (rohu) is the source of this 1798-nucleotide long non-coding RNA. RefSeq lists it as uncharacterized. The transcript has 3 exons. The record is from RefSeq and is a predicted model, not a curated record. NCBI's taxonomy places the organism in Eukaryota, Metazoa, Chordata, Actinopteri, Cypriniformes, Cyprinidae.